Molecule: long non-coding RNA, 2187 nt
Organism: Pseudopipra pipra
Lineage: Eukaryota; Metazoa; Chordata; Aves; Passeriformes; Pipridae
Exons: 2
Source: RefSeq, a predicted model, not a curated record
GUGCAGUGGUGAGAAAAUUAUCUCCAGGUGUUUAUAUUUACAGAUAAUAGAGUUUGAGCAGUGGUCAGUUGCUGAAAAUUGUCUUCAGGAACUCCAGAGAAAUGAGAGUGGUCUAAUCAGAGACAUCAGCAUUCCAGAGGGGGCUGCCUGUCACAGUAGUUCUGGACACCUUCCCGUGCCAGGUCUGAGGGCCACUGCAAACCUUCAUUUGGCCGCAGUGAGAACUUCUGAGUCAUCAACCACAAAAGAAACUGCUUCACUUCCUCUUUUUUCUGCCACACAGCUGGGGUUUGCUUGGCUUAUCUUGGCCUUUGAUUAUGGGAAAUGAGGCACAGAAUUCCAGAACACACCACUGGCCCGCUGCAGGAGUGUCUGUAGUUACCACUGGCAGCAGGAUGUUUCAGAUCUGCCGGCCCUGAGACAAUACUUACAGAAUAGAAAAUUGUAUCUUUAAAGGAAAGAGGACAGUGGGCAUUGGUAUUUAUUUUAUUAAAAAAAAUUUACUUUCUAGUAUAAUUUGUUCUAUAUCAGAAAAAUGAUGUCCUGCAGUAAAGACAGGAAUAUAGUGAUCAUAGAAUCAUGGAAUGGUUUGGGUUGCAAGGACCAUCCAGUUCCAACUCCCCUGCCAUGGGGAGCACACUCCCCUUCCACUAGAGCACAUUACUCCGAGCCCCAUCCAACCUGGUCUGGAACGCUUCCAGGGAUGGGGCAGCCACAGCUUCUCUGGACAGGCUAAUUUACCCUGCUCUCGGUUGACUUUGUCAGUUCAUCUUCAUUUCCCUCCUCAGUCAACAGAAGAACUAUUAGUGAGUUCUCUGAGGCUUUCAUCAGACCUUGAGGGAUUUGUACCCCAAAUAAGACUUCUGAUAUUUUUGGGUGCUGUGGGAACUCUUGUUUUGACCAUACCCCCCAAAGCUCCCUGCUCUCUGUGUGCCUCUGUACCAUAAGAAUCCUGCCAGUAAAUAAGGAGGAAAGUACUGAAAUACUUGCUUUUUUCUUAUUGCUUUUUGCUUGCUAGUCCUGAAGUUUAUUUUUCAUUAACCCUGUGUUCAUCUGAACAAAAUUACGUUUCUUUCUUAUAAGUUAUAAAGGUUUUGCUAUUCACUGGCACAGGUUGCCCAGAGAAGCUGUGGCUGCCCCAUUCCUGGAAGUGUUCAAGGCCAGGCUGGACAGGGAUCUGAGCAACCUGGGCUAGUGGAAGGUGUCCCUGCCCAUGGCAGGGAGUGGAACUGGAUGAUCUUUAAGGUCCCUCCCAAUCCAAACCAUUCUGUGAUUCUAUGAUUCCUCUUACUUUUUGAGGUGACGUAUUUCCAGGAUGAUAUUGAAAGGUUCCUGCAAUUCUCAAAGUGAAAUAGUUAGACUGGAAAGACAAAUGCAUUUUCUUAUCUAUUAAUUUGGAAACAUUUCUGUUGAAUAACAUGAAACUAGUCAGAUUAAUAAAAAUAAUGAAGAAAAUAUCCACGUGUUAUCAAUGAAAUGAAAUGAAAUGAAAUAAAGUGGUGAAGGAUGAAUGUAGCCGAAAUAACACUGAGCAGCUUAUGAGACAUAACAUGUGCUUAGUAGUUUUGAAUAUUAAAAAAUUUGGUCUCCUUUAGAAAGUAUUUAACAGAGGUAUUAACAAAUUGUAUUUACUGCAGAACUUAGGUUAGUGUUUGAGAAGAACUAAACAUUUUAUGAAAGUCAGCCAACUAAGUCUUUUACACUAAAAAGCCUCUGCCACAGAAGUCUUGCAAAACGUUGUUUUGGAAUGUUUGGAAUAGGAGGCACAAGAGAAAAGAAUUCAGCUGCUUUAUCAGCUGCAUUUUUAUUUUUGGUAAGGCCUGCAUUCAAUAGGAUUGCUAUUUACUUGUUCAUAACACCUGUGUGUUGUUAUUAUUGAGUUACAAGACAUAACUGUCAUCCUCCAGAAAUUACAUUCUUAGCACUGAAAAUUACUUGAGGGAGGAUAGGAAUAAGAAGGGAGGGUUGGAAUAUGGAGUUAUGGAAUAUGGAAUACCACAGUAUUGUAACAACAUGAAAAUAAUACUAGUAAGCUGAAUAAAAAGAGAAAAACGUAAAAAAGGAGCAUGACAGGGAGGUUAAACCUCAGAUGGAAAUCUCAGAUGAUAUAAAGAUAUUUAAUUACCUUUAUCUCCAGAACCUGAUGGUCUGGUCAUAAUAAAGAUUAGUAGAUGUACUUUAUGUAAA